Molecule: unclassified non-coding RNA, 194 nt
Filed under: soil metagenome
Description: partial contains 5.8S ribosomal RNA, internal transcribed spacer 2, and large subunit ribosomal RNA
Source: RNAcentral
AACGCACGAGACCUGCGGACCUGCGGAGGGAUCAUUACCGAGUUAUCCAACUCCCAACCCCUGUGAAUCAUACCUUUAAUUGUUGCUUCGGCGGGACUUCGCGCCCGCCGGGGACCCAAACCUUCUGAAUUUUUUAAUAAGUAUCUUCUGAGUGGUUAAAAAAAAUGAAUCAAAACUUUCAACAAUGGAUCUCU